GGCCCAGUGGUCUAGACGUAUGAUUCGUCCUUCGGGGUUUCUUAACUCACGAGAACAUGGUUCUUCAUGGACGAGGCCCCGGGUUCAAUUCCCGGCUGGGCCC
Molecule: non-coding RNA, 103 nt
Organism: Flagelloscypha sp. PMI_526
Lineage: Eukaryota; Fungi; Basidiomycota; Agaricomycetes; Agaricales; Niaceae
Source: the annotation of a GenBank genome assembly